CUGUUCACUUUGGCAGCACAUAUACUAAAUUUGGAAUGAUAUAGAGAAGAUUAGCAUGGCCCCUGUUCAAGGAUGACAUGCAAAUUCAUGAAGCAUUCCAUAUUUUA
This is a small nuclear RNA of Cricetulus griseus (Chinese hamster), 107 nucleotides long. Lineage: Eukaryota; Metazoa; Chordata; Mammalia; Rodentia; Cricetidae. The record is from Ensembl.